UGGGGAAUAUUGGACAAUGGGGGCAACCCUGAUCCAGCCAUGCCGCGUGAGUGAUGAAGGCCCUAGGGUUGUAAAGCUCUUUCAACGGUGAAGAUAAUGACGGUAGCCGUAGAAGAAGCCCCGGCUAACUUCGUGCCAGCAGCCGCGGUAAUACGAAGGGGGCAAGCGUUGUUCGGAAUAACUGGGCGUAAAGCGCGCGUAGGCGGAUCGUUUAGUCAGAGGUGAAAUCCCAGGGCUCAACCCUGGAACUGCCUUUGAUACUGGCGAUCUUGAGUUCGAGAGAGGUGAGUGGAAUUCCGAGUGUAGAGGUGAAAUUCGUAGAUAUUCGGAGGAACACCAGUGGCGAAGGCGGCUCACUGGCUCGAAACUGACGCUGAGGUGCGAAAGCGUGGGGAGCAAACAGGAUUAGAUACCCCCGUAGUCC
This 424-nucleotide ribosomal RNA is filed under the name uncultured prokaryote. RNAcentral's name for it is "bacterial SSU rRNA". It matches the Rfam family "Bacterial small subunit ribosomal RNA", at positions 355 to 796 of the family's 1533-position model. The record is from RNAcentral.